RNAcentral lists this transfer RNA (76 nucleotides) under Corynebacterium sp. RNAcentral describes it as "tRNA-Thr". It matches the Rfam family "tRNA". From Rfam's summary of the family: Transfer RNA (tRNA) molecules are approximately 80 nucleotides in length. The record is from RNAcentral. Lineage: Bacteria; Bacillati; Actinomycetota; Actinomycetes; Mycobacteriales; Corynebacteriaceae. RNAcentral also lists the same sequence under 4 other names.
GCCGCUUUAGCUCAGUCGGUAGAGCGUCUCACUCGUAAUGAGAAGGUCAGGAGUUCGAUUCUCCUAAGCGGCUCCA